Molecule: long non-coding RNA, 787 nt
Organism: Trachymyrmex septentrionalis
Lineage: Eukaryota; Metazoa; Arthropoda; Insecta; Hymenoptera; Formicidae
Exons: 3
Source: RefSeq, a predicted model, not a curated record
AAGCGCGAAGGUCUGUGACAGGAAAUAGAAUCGCGAUUUAGUCUAACGUCAAAAUUGCAACGUUUCGCAGAACAAAACAGCAGCUUAUUGAUUUCUGUGUCAGUCUUACGUCUGUCAUGAGAAGUUUUAAUUAGAAGUUUCGAAUUUCCUUUCGCUCAAAUUUUGGAAGAAAGUGUUUGGAGAGAUUUAAGCAGCUCGCUCCCCAAUAACUAGAGAGGUUGGCUUUAACGUGUUCAAGAUGUCGGAUCUAUACGCAUUCGACAAGAAUGCGGGACAAUCGUUACGAGCGUUUGUUGUACGCGUCGCGCGUCACGUGGGGAAUAGGCCACGCUCGUAGGACCCCCGAUUCGUGGCACGUAAAAGCUGGAAACGAAGCGGAGGGAAUGGGAAAGAAGAAAAGACGACCAAGUCUCAAGGAAGAGGGCACGUCGCUGUUCCGCGGCUAGAAGACGGAAUGCCACUCACCAGCGAACCCGUCGGACUACUAAUGACACCCCUCUCUCUCUCUCUCUCUCUCUCUCCUCCUCCUCCUCCUCCUCCUCGCUAUUCUUCGAGCCUCAUCGAGCAUUCAAAUCCCGCAUUUUCGUCCUAAUUACACCGAGCGUAAGCAGCUAACGCAGCACCGCUGAGCUUCGACUCGAUCCUGAGCUUCCGCAUCGUCUACGAGAUUCGCGCCGAGAUGCUCCGGAAUUUCUCCGAGCGUGACGAAUUAGAUCCAAGUUUAAUAACAUACCAACUCGUGGAUUCCGUAACUAGCGCGAUAUUACCUGCGAACUGUUUAUUCACG